RNAcentral lists this long non-coding RNA (229 nucleotides) under Eucalyptus grandis. Its description in RNAcentral is "long non-coding RNA (EGRA_LNC005812)". The record is from RNAcentral. Lineage: Eukaryota; Viridiplantae; Streptophyta; Magnoliopsida; Myrtales; Myrtaceae.
GGCGGCGACGCGAGGAACGAAACUUCCCAAAGCGACUCACGGAUCCGAGGCCCGGAAACGGCCCAAAAGCGGGCCCGAACCAGCUGGAAACCCAUUUCGUGGGUUGCUGGUCGGGGCUGGCCGGGGCUGCUCCGGCGGCCAAAACGGUGAGGGAAGGCCGGCGGAAGGUGAGGGGGACGCCGGGGAGCUGCGAGGUGGCCGAACGGAGGUAGGCGGUGGCCGGAGGUGG